CACGUACACUAGGAGGAUGAGGACUAGAUCCCAGCCAUUAGAUACUCCCUAGGCAGAUAUUAGCAUUUCUGGUUAGAGCCUAGGCUAGAUAUCUAGUUCUCAUAUGUAUUUUGCUUUUAUCAUAUAUGUUUAAACUUUGAUUAAGGAACAUUGUAUCUGUUUUUGUUUUUGGGCAUGAAUGUACUAAAAUGUUCCUAUUUUGAUCAAUGAAGUUUAAAU
Molecule: long non-coding RNA, 219 nt
Filed under: Phoenix dactylifera (date palm)
Lineage: Eukaryota; Viridiplantae; Streptophyta; Magnoliopsida; Arecales; Arecaceae
Description: long non-coding RNA (PDAC_LNC017554)
Source: RNAcentral